This is a long non-coding RNA of Cyprinus carpio (common carp), 1094 nucleotides long. RefSeq lists it as uncharacterized. The record is from RefSeq and is a predicted model, not a curated record. The transcript has 3 exons. Lineage: Eukaryota; Metazoa; Chordata; Actinopteri; Cypriniformes; Cyprinidae.
ACCAUACAGUUUUGGAACAACUUGAGAGUGAGUAGUUAAUGACAGAAUUUGAAUUUUUGGUGAACUUUCCUUUUAAUUGCAGGUGAAAACUUUGCCAAGAAUGGAAAGCAGCAAGUUCAUGUCAAAUGACAAAGCUACAGUUAUCAUUCAAGUAAAUCCACAGGUGAAACAAAAUAAUGUUAUUUGUGAUGACGAGCAGCAGGCCAGAGGAGCAUAUCAAGAUACUGCUCUAAAAGGAUUUUUCAAAGCACAACCAAAGGCACUAGGGACUGUCCAGAUAAUGACUGGAGUGGUGAUUUUCUUGUUUGGUAUUGUAAACACCGCUAUCAGUACCUUUCUGCCAAUUUUAAUUUUUAGUGGCAUCACCUACUGGGGAUCCCUUAUUUACAUCAUUGCUGGCUCUCUGUCUGUUGCCGCGCAGAAUAAACUUCAUCUGUGUGUGGUAUGUAUAUAUAAUGUGCUGAAAAGUAGGGUAAAAUGACUUUGUGAUUUUAUUCUCAAACUCUUAAAAAUCAAAUAGCAACAAAAUCAACACAAUUUUUCUAUAUAUAGCUGUCGCUGCCUUAAUAUUUACAUAAUUUUGAAUGAAAACUAUAACAAGAACAACUGCUUUUUAUGUAACUUGUAUUUACAUGAGAACUAUAUUUAAAAAAAACAAACAUUUUUUUUGAUCAGCAUAUAUUUUGGGAUGAGUAAUAAAAACAAACAAACAAGUAAACAAACUAAAUUCUUAAGGGAGAUUUAAGCCACCCUAAUACAUUUGCGUAAACAGAAUAAAAUGCAACCACAAAACUUUCCAUGAUGAACUCUCUUUUACCACAGUAGUCUGAAACACUAGACCCUUUUACCACUAAAAGGAUGUGGACUAACAUUUUCAGUUUGCAUAGUUAAAAACUUUUGAAACCGUUUUACAUGUGUACACCAUUAUUAUAACUAUGUCACCUUUUAAGCAUUAAACUUUCUUCCUGUAGGUGAAAGCCUCUCUUGGAAUGAAUGUGAUCAGUGCCAUAACUGCAGCGACUGCCAUUACUAUAAUGGGCAUAGAAAUACUUUUUUUUUUAAUGCCGUAUCAAAGCUCUAUUUCAGUACGCCUA